This 155-nucleotide ribosomal RNA is filed under the name Trichomonas vaginalis G3. RNAcentral describes it as "5.8S ribosomal RNA". It matches the Rfam family "5.8S ribosomal RNA". From Rfam's summary of the family: 5.8S ribosomal RNA (5.8S rRNA) is a component of the large subunit of the eukaryotic ribosome. It is transcribed by RNA polymerase I as part of the 45S precursor that also contains 18S and 28S rRNA. The record is from Rfam by way of RNAcentral. Lineage: Eukaryota; Parabasalia; Trichomonadida; Trichomonadidae.
GUCUCUAAGCAAUGGAUGUCUUGGCUCCUCACACGAUGAAGAACGUGGCAUAAUGUGUUAAGUAACCGGAGUUGCAAACAUCAUGACAGGUAAUCUUUGAAUGCAAAUUGCGCUAAACUCGAUCUCGGUCGAGAAGCAUGGGUGUGACAGUACUA